AGUUAACGUUGGCGGCGUGCCUAACACAUGCAAGUCGAACGCGUCCUAAGGGCAACUUUAGGAUGAGUGGCGAACGGGUGAGUAUCACGUGGGUAAUCUUCCUUUAAGUGGGGAAUAAGCUCUCGAAAGGGAGUCUAAUACCGCAUGACAUUCCGGGACACAAGUCCCGUAAUCAAAGCCGCAAGGCGCUUGAAGAUGAGCCUGCGUCCUAUUAGCUAGUUGGUGGGGUAACGGCCUACCAAGGCUCAGAUGGGUAGCCGGCCUGAGAGGGUGAACGGCCACACUGGGACUGAGACACGGCCCAGACUCCUACGGGAGGCAGCAGUGAGGAAUAUUGCACAAUGGGGGAAACCCUGAUGCAGCAACGCCGCGUGAAGGAUGAAGGUUUUCGGAUCGUAAACUUCUUUGAUGAGGGACGAAUAAUGACGGUACCUCAAGAACAAGCCACGGCUAACUACGUG
RNAcentral lists this ribosomal RNA (461 nucleotides) under uncultured bacterium. RNAcentral's name for it is "bacterial SSU rRNA". It matches the Rfam family "Bacterial small subunit ribosomal RNA", at positions 29 to 507 of the family's 1533-position model. The record is from RNAcentral.